AUUUUUUUGUUCAUUUAGAUAUAGUAACCUCGCCUCUUCUAAUCAAGAUUAUAAAGUGGACAUCAACCUCAUUGUUUGCUUUGAUCAGUACUUUUGCUUCUGCAUUUGAUUUAUAUUACUGGCAUACCAGGUACUCUGAUGUUACUUUGGUUAAGUUCUGUUUAUAAAUGCUUUUCAGGUUAAAAUUUUGUGGUAUGAGAAGGGCAAUGGCUCUAUUGUUUUAAACUAGUCUCUGGUCUGCCGGAAAAUUAUUUUUGAGUGUGCAUGUAUUUUUAACUAAUCAGUUGAUUGGUAAUUAAUAUUACUACUGCCACCAUGUAACAUCUGUCUUGGAUUCGUUUGUGUACUGCUAUUUGAAGGAAGGAAUGCUUAUGUUACUGUUAAAUGCUUCCAAAGGUUAGACUCAAAUAUUAUGUUAUAAUCGAUAGAAGAAUGAAACGAGUUUCAGCUUACCAUAUUGAAGUGCCAAUUAUUCCUUUGUCCUGAUCUUAAG
Molecule: unclassified non-coding RNA, 493 nt
Filed under: Hevea brasiliensis (rubber tree)
Lineage: Eukaryota; Viridiplantae; Streptophyta; Magnoliopsida; Malpighiales; Euphorbiaceae
Source: RNAcentral